AACCAGCACCUCAAGUGGUCAGGAGGAUUAUUGGGCCUAAAGCAUCCGUAGCCUGUUCUAUAAGUUUGCGGUUAAAUCUAUACGCUCAACGUAUAGGCUGCCGUAAAUACUGUAGAACUAGGGAGUGGGAGAGGUAGACGGUACUCGGUAGGAAGGGGUAAAAUCCUUUGAUCUAUUGAUGACCACCUGUGGCGAAGGCAGCUCUCUGGCUCGUCACUGACGCUAAGGUGCGAAAGCGUGGGUAGCAAACAGG
This 253-nucleotide ribosomal RNA is filed under the name uncultured archaeon. Its description in RNAcentral is "partial 16S ribosomal RNA". It matches the Rfam family "Archaeal small subunit ribosomal RNA", at positions 474 to 727 of the family's 1478-position model. The record is from RNAcentral.